This 403-nucleotide ribosomal RNA is filed under the name uncultured Anaerofilum sp. Its description in RNAcentral is "bacterial SSU rRNA". It matches the Rfam family "Bacterial small subunit ribosomal RNA", at positions 356 to 774 of the family's 1533-position model. The record is from RNAcentral. Lineage: Bacteria; Bacillati; Bacillota; Clostridia; Eubacteriales; Oscillospiraceae.
GGGGGAUAUUGCACAAUGGAGGAAACUCUGAUGCAGCGACGCCGCGUGAGGGAAGAAGGUUUUCGGAUUGUAAACCUCUGUCUUCGGGGACGAAACAAAUGACGGUACUCGAGGAGGAAGCCACGGCUAACUACGUGCCAGCAGCCGCGGUAAUACGUAGGUGGCAAGCGUUGUCCGGAAUUACUGGGUGUAAAGGGAGCGCAGGCGGAACUGCAAGUUGGGUGUUUAAUCUACGGGCUCAACCCGUAUCAGCAUUCAAAACUGUGGUUCUUGAGUAAUGCAGAGGUAGGCGGAAUUCCCGGUGUAGCGGUGGAAUGCGUAGAGAUCGGGAGGAACAUCAGUGGCGAAGGCGACUGCCUGAGCCAACACUGACACUGAGGCACGAAAGCGUGGGGAGCAAACA